RNAcentral lists this ribosomal RNA (296 nucleotides) under Incasarcus dianae. RNAcentral's name for it is "partial 16S ribosomal RNA". Lineage: Eukaryota; Metazoa; Arthropoda; Arachnida; Opiliones; Metasarcidae. The record is from RNAcentral.
GCAUAAUCAUUAGUUUUUUAAUUGGAGACUGGAAUGAAGGGUUGAUACUGAAAGGAAGGUUUUAUUAGAUAAAUUUGAAUUUAAAUUAAAAGUAAAAAUGCUUUUAUUAAUCUUUGGGACGAGAAGACCCUAGAAGCUAUAGAUUAAAAAAUAAUCUUUGAUUGGGGCAAUUGUUGAAGAAAUUAAUUUUUAAUUAUUUUAGUUAUUUUAAAAAAGUUACUCUAGGGAUAACAGCAUUAUUUAAUUAGCAAGUUCUUAUUAAUAGUUAAGUUUGUGACCUCGAUGUUGAAUUAAAU